This 170-nucleotide non-coding RNA is filed under the name uncultured eukaryote. The record is from RNAcentral.
AAUAAAAAAUUACAUGAAGGCGAAUGAGAUACUGUCGUUUUUUUUCACCAACUUUUUUUUUCAAGUUUCUUUUUCGACGUUUUUUUUUCUCGUGUUUGGACGAUGUCUCAAACAAUGAGGUCUGUCGAUGCUGCGGCGCUCAUGGCUUGGGUAAAAAGGUGACAGUUGAC